This 468-nucleotide ribosomal RNA is filed under the name uncultured bacterium. RNAcentral's name for it is "partial 16S ribosomal RNA". It matches the Rfam family "Bacterial small subunit ribosomal RNA", at positions 28 to 507 of the family's 1533-position model. The record is from RNAcentral.
GACGAACGCUGGCGGCGUGCUUAACACAUGCAAGUCGAACGGAAAGGCCCUGCUUUUGUGGGGUGCUCGAGUGGCGAACGGGUGAGUAACACGUGAGUAACCUGCCCUUGACUUUGGGAUAACUUCAGGAAACUGGGGCUAAUACCGGAUAGGAGCUCCUGCUGCAUGGUGGGGGUUGGAAAGUUUCGGCGGUUGGGGAUGGACUCGCGGCUUAUCAGCUUGUUGGUGGGGUAGUGGCUUACCAAGGCUUUGACGGGUAGCCGGCCUGAGAGGGUGACCGGCGACACUGGGACUGAGAGACGGCACAGACUCCUACGGGAGGCAGCAGGGGGGAAGCUUGCACAAGGGGCGGAAGGCUGAUGAAGCAACGCCGCGUGCGGGAUAACGGCCUUCGGGUGGUAAAAAGCUUUCGCCUGUGACGAAGCGUGAGUGACGGUAAUGGGUAAAGAAGCACCGGCUAACUACGUG